GAUGAACGCUGGCGGCGUGCCUAAUACAUGCAAGUCGAGCGAACGGACGAGAAGCUUGCUUCUCUGAUGUUAGCGGCGGACGGGUGAGUAACACGUGGAUAACCUACCUAUAAGACUGGGAUAACUUCGGGAAACCGGAGCUAAUACCGGAUGAUAUUUUGAACCGCAUGGUUCAAAAGUGAAAGACGGUCUUGCUGUCACUUAUAGAUGUAUCCGCGCUGCAUUAGCUAGUUGGUAAGGUAACGGCUUACCAAGGCAACGAUGCAUAGCCGACCUGAGAGGGUGAUCGGCCACACUAGAACUGAGACACGGUCCAGACUCCUACGGGAGGCAGCAGUAGGGAAUCUUCCGCAAUGGGCGAAAGCCUGACGGAGCAACGCCGCGUGAGUGAUGAAGGUCUUCGGAUCGUAAAACUCUGUUAUUAGGGAAGAACAUAUGUGUAAGUAACUGUGCACAUCUUGACGGUACCUAAUCAGAAAGCCACGGCUAACUACGUG
This 497-nucleotide ribosomal RNA is filed under the name uncultured bacterium. RNAcentral's name for it is "partial 16S ribosomal RNA". It matches the Rfam family "Bacterial small subunit ribosomal RNA", at positions 28 to 507 of the family's 1533-position model. The record is from RNAcentral.